UGUCCAAAUACCCCCUGCUGGCAAGGACUCUAAAUGCAGCGGCUUUGGCUUUUAACAGGGUAUCUGGGUUCACUGUCAAAUUUUAGCCAAUUUAUGCUCAUUUCGUGAGGUUAAUGGGCAAGGCAUUGAGGCAUUGGUAACAGCUGCAGAGUGGUGGACGCUGGGCUGUGCUGUCCGCCUGAGUGCCAGGCCUGAGAUGACAUGUUCCUGGUCCUCAGAGUUGGGCCGGGAAUGAGGGUCUGGUGUAUUGUCCUAUCCAGUCCUGCAGGCUGCCAGGCGCCUUAAUGCCCAAAUUAAUUUUAAAGAGUUUAUUUUUUCGCACUCCACACAGACAAGAACACACACACACGCACACACGUGAACACACACACACACACACACACACACACACACACACACACACGAUGGUCAGUUCUAUUGUUUUCUUUUGGAUGGAUGACUUAUGCCUUUUCCUCUUUUUCAAACCCAAUGUUUUAUAUUCGUAGCCUUAAGACAACAUGUUUUGCUUGCCACCUCUGCUUGACUAUAUAUGUGUGAAAUGCAGAUCCGGGCGACAGGGGGAGAAGGGAGAGAGAGGGAGCCAGAGAGGCAAAGAGAGAGAGGGAGAGGGAGAGAGAGAGGCAGAGAAGAAGAAGGUGAGAGGGAGGAGGGCAGAGAGAGGGCACGACAAAGAGAAAGAAAGAGAGGGUAAAAGAGGGAAAGAGAGAUGGGGGAGAAGGAGGAGAGAAAGAGAGAGAGAGAGAGAGAGAGAGAGAGAGAGAGAGAGAGAGAGAGAGAGAGAGAGAGAGAGAGAGAGAGAGAGAGAGAGAGAGAGAGAGAGGGAAACCGGUAGAGCUUUGACGCCACAUGAUCUGUCGCGUGUCAGCCAGGCUCCAUCAUUCCACCCCCAGGUGGGUCUCCCUCUGGCGUGCAAGACUUUUCUGUAACAAUCUUUUCUUCUCCUCCUCUUCCACCUGUUCCCCCUCCUCCCUCUCCCGCUGCUCCUUCACAGAGAAGCCGAUGGCGCGGGGCCCCCCCGGGGGGGUGAUCGGGGUCCUGGGGGGCAUAGUCGCCAUCGGUCUGAUCAUCGCUGUGGCGAUCACUGUCGUCAUGAUGCACCGGCGCCAGCAGAAGACGGCCACAGAGACGGAUAACGACCUGGCCGACCUCCCACCCGCACACAAGCCCGCCCCUCCCCCGCCGAAGAAGAAGACCUGCGACAUGAAGGGACACCUGACUUCUGAGGACAUCCAGGUGGUGCACCUGGACAAGGACGAGGAGAUGCAGAAGCUUCCCCUCCAGCCUCCAUACUACGACAUGGCGCCCUCUGAGUCAACCCCCUUCACCGAUAAAAUGAACUGUGGGCGGCGCCCAGAAGACGUUCUGAACCCGGCCCCGUACGUGACCUACCAGCCGAUCUGCUCCAUGGAAACCUUCUCCCAGCCAGCCCCACCACCGGCAGCACACCCCCAGCCUCCCACCUCCUUCCUGCCCCAACACCCCUACGCCCACCCCCACCGCCCUCUGCACCAGCAGCCUCCGGGCCAAGAGAUCUCCUACCCCCCCAACAUGGGCCACCCUGUGCCUGGUCCGCGAGCCCCCUUCACCUACUCCAGGGAGCAGUCGGUGUGAGGCGCGGUGACCCCCGCAGUAACCCCCCCCCCCCCCCCCCCCCCCACACACACCUCCGAGGAUCUACGCAACGACCAGCGGAACCGUGACUGCGACGCCUCCCCCUGUCUCCCUCCAACUCCUCCACACGUCGGUGUAGUGUGAGCUCAGUAUACGGGUGGUGUCUUUUAUAUGUGAGCUGUCUCCGUCCUCCCUCUGUGACCCCCCCCCCCCCCCUUGUCCCUACCUUGUGUGUCGUGCACUGCUUGUAUCACGGAAGGCGUAGCGUAUAGAAACACGACACCUAGUGCUGUUAGCCGUUAGACGCUGUUAUCUCCCCACCGCCCUCCUCCAACCUCCUCCACCCCUCUCCGCUGCUCCCUUGUGCCCGUGGGAUCCGGGUCCUCAUUCCCAACGCUACGUGUCUAACCAUGUACUGUGUUUGCCAUUCUUUUGUUUAUUCGGUCGCUUUUUCAAUUUCGUUUUUUAUUUGACUCACCGCGGCCGUGACCGCUUAUAUCCGUGUUCAUUGUUGCUUUUUUCCGUUGUUUUUUUUGUCGAUUAUAUGCUUGCUUCUUCAAGAAAAACUACAUAACGUACUGUAUUUGUGAUUUGGAUGUGUAAUCUGAAAAAAAUGAUGUAACUAUUAAUACUUUUUUAGAAUUGUUUACCUAUAAAUAGGACAUGGCCUGCCCCCCUUUUUCAUGAGUUAUUGGCAGAGUGGUCGGAAUUGGCAGUUACUCCCUUCUUCCCCUCGUCAUUAAAAAACUGCAGCCAUAUUUGAUUCGAUUUAGAUAGGUUGAAUUAUAAGAAAGACACGUUGUCCUCACCAUAAAAUAAGAACAGAUAAGGGCUAAAAAUAAGCAACUAUUUUUCCCUCUUACAUGACAGUAUAUUAAUAUAAUUAUUAUUAAUGUUAUUAUUAAUAUUAUUCAUAGCAGUAUUGUUAGUUGCCAAGGCUAGGAGCAUUCUAUUUUGCUAAUGUGUAUUUUUAGUCAUAUUAUUUUGUAUUGUUUUCCAUUUGCUUCCAUGCUAACGUUUACAUUCGACCGUAUUUGUUCAAGGGAAUGUACAGCGAAGAUUGGCAACAUGCUCAGCUAGUUUACAUUACUGCUUGCCACACGCUGUGUUUCUAAAUGGAGUUUACUGGAAGGUUAAUUAACGCAAGGGUCCUAGGUGGGAUUUUUUAUCGAGGGGGGGAACAGAGCCUCCUCUACGCAGGUGCAAUAGAUGAAUAUGACAAUCACUUUUUAGGGCUGCCCUAGGAAAACUUUGUUUUUCAUGGUUUAUUCAAGGUUUGUUUAGUUUUCAUUUAUUUAUUUAUUUUUUACUAAUUGCUCAAAAAGCCAACUUUUUUUUCCCAGGACAGCCCUCCCACAUAUUGAAAUGUUUUAUUUUAGGAUUGCACCUCUCAAAAGCCUAAAGAGUUGAACAAUAAUCCGCUGAAGAAAGAGCUUGCUACUGUAUUUUUCUAGAGAACACUUCCGUAUAGACUGUAUCGAUUGAGCUUUACAAAUAUAUAACACACACUGUGACUGUCGCUAUUAAACCAUACAUAAGCUAACUCUCCUACGACGAGCCAACUCUAACACACUGCCACCAACACACACAACACGUCCACGACACAUAACACAACUGCAUAAAUAACUGAAAGGUUCACACAUUUUCUUUUUGCCAUGUCAGGUUUGUGUAUAGGAUAAAAAAUGAGAAUACUUGUGUUUGUGCUCGAUGUGAAAGAUGUUUAAAAAAUGACAAGUAGAUUAACCCUUGAGAUGUUGAAGGUGUUAGUGUUUACUCUUGACGGUUGUAUGAAUUUGGGUAAAAAAAAUCUCCUUUUGCUCAUUGUUGUCCUGCGAUGGCUGAAUCGGUGUGCGAGUUCUGAGUGGAACCGGUUUCGUCCGGUUUGAACUGCAGCAUCGACAUGUUGUCUUGGUGUAACUGCUGUAUGAAAACACAAACACACAGAAUGCUUUCUUGUGACACAUUGUUAAUAACAACCUCCCUUAUUAUUAUUAUUAUUAUUACUAUCGUUAUUAUAAUUAUGACUAUAACUGUGAUUAAUAUUAUUACCGCUACUGCAUUCUUGGAAUGAAAUGUACUUCUAUUUAUUUCUAAAUUGUUUUGUCUGUCCUCAAUUGUGUUGACCUUCAUCUUUUUCUAUGAUUUUUGUUUAUAACUUUUCUUUUGUUUCAUGUUACUUUUCUUUUUCUAAAUAGUGCGUAUAUUUCUCUUGAAACCCUCAUCUGUACAUUUGAGUGGACGGUAAUCAUCUGAUGUAGCAGACACUACUAGAGCUGCGGUAGGAAAGAAAGUGUGGAAGAAUUUAACCAUUAUUUUUUACAUCCUGAGUUCUUUGUGUAAAUAUUAACAGUGUAUCUGGUGUGUUGAAAAAAAGAAACAAAAAAAAAGAACAAGCCAUGCAGGUUAACAUUAAACUUCACUAAUGAUCCAUGUAAUAUGUGUGGUGUUUGUGUCUUAAUCAUUCUAUCCACCAUCCAUCCAUCCAUCCACCCCCACCUGCUUUAGCAUGUAAACAUGUAUGCGCACACACACACACACACACACACACACACACACACACACACACACACACACACACACACACACACACACACACACACACACACACACACACACACACACACACACACAAUAUGACAGUGGAGUCUCAAUAUUCAUUCUAAACAUCCACCAUUCAAAAGG
RNAcentral lists this long non-coding RNA (4293 nucleotides) under Gadus morhua (Atlantic cod). RNAcentral's name for it is "lncRNA (ENSGMOG00000035914.1)". Lineage: Eukaryota; Metazoa; Chordata; Actinopteri; Gadiformes; Gadidae. The record is from RNAcentral.